This 172-nucleotide non-coding RNA is filed under the name bovine gut metagenome. The record is from RNAcentral.
CGAUUUGGUCACCCGAAAAGGCGUUAAAAGGGAAUCAGGUGCAAGUCCUGAACAGUCCCGCUGCUGUAAGUUCAACACACUGCCAAUCAAAUAAAUAGUCACUGCAUAUCGCCAUAGAUAUGUGGGAAGGCUGAGAGGCAGAGAACAAGUCAGAAGACCUGCCAAAUCUGAA